This is a non-coding RNA of Castor canadensis (American beaver), 411 nucleotides long. The record is from the annotation of a RefSeq genome assembly. NCBI's taxonomy places the organism in Eukaryota, Metazoa, Chordata, Mammalia, Rodentia, Castoridae.
CUGUCCAGGAGUCAUUCUCAGUCAACACACAGCAUGGAAAUGUGGGGCACUUUACAUCUCCUGGUGGUCCUGCUGCUCUGUUUCCCUGGUGCCAGAUGUGACAUCCAGUUGACUCAGUCUCCAUCCUCCCUGUCUGCAACUCUAGGAGACAGAGUCACCAUCACUUGCAGGGCCAGUAAGAACAUAUACAGCAGUUUAGCCUGGUAUCAGCAAAAACCAGGGAAAGCCCCUAAGCUCCUGAUCUAUAAUGCUAACAGUUUGGAUUCUGGUGUCCCAUCAAGGUUCAGUGGCAGUGGGUCUGGGACAGACUACACUCUCACAAUCAGCAGCCUGGAGUCUGGAGAUGCUGCAACUUAUUAUUGUCAACAGUAUAGUGAGUACCCUCCCACAGUGAAACAAGUCAUAACAUAA